CAGUCGACGGCAGCACAGGAGAGCUUGCUCUCUGGGUGGCGAGUGGCGGACGGGUGAGGAAUAUAUCGGAAUCUACCCUUUCGUGGGGGAUAACGUAGGGAAACUUACGCUAAUACCGCAUACGAACUGAGGUUGAAAGCGGCGGACCGCAAGGCGUCGCGCGGAUGGAUGAGCCGAUAUCCGAUUAGCUAGUUGGCGGGGUAAAAGCCCACCAAGGCGACGAUCGGUAGCUGGUCUGAGAGGAUGAUCAGCCACACUGGAACUGAGACACGGUCCAGACUCCUACGGGAGGCAGCAGUGGGGAAUAUUGGACAAUGGGCGCAAGCCUGAUCCAGCCAUGCCGCGUGUGUGAAGAAGGCCUUCGGGUUGUAAAGCACUUUUGUUGGGAAAGAAAAGCGGUCGGUUAAUACCCGGUCGUUCUGACGGUACCCAAAGAAUAAGCACCGGCUAACUUCGUGCCAGCAGCCGCGGUAAUACGAAGGGUGCAAGCGUUACUCGGAAUUACUGGGCGUAAAGCGUGCGUAGGUGGUUUGUUAAGUCAGAUGUGAAAGCCCCGGGCUCAACCUGGGAAUUGCAUUUGAUACUGGCAGACUAGAGUGCGGUAGAGGAGAGUGGAAUUCCCGGUGUAGCAGUGAAAUGCGUAGAGAUCGGGAGGAACAUCAGUUGCGAAGGCGGCUCUCUGGACCAGCACUGACACUGAGGCACGAAAGCGUGGGGGAGCAAACAGGAUUAGAUACCCUGAUAGUCCACGCCCUAAACGAUGCGAACUGGACGUUGGGAUCAAUUGAGAUUUCAGUGUCGAAGCUAACGCGUUAAGUUCGCCGCCUGGGGAGUACGGUCGCAAGACUGAAACUCAAGGAAUUGACGG
This 868-nucleotide ribosomal RNA is filed under the name uncultured bacterium. Its description in RNAcentral is "bacterial SSU rRNA". It matches the Rfam family "Bacterial small subunit ribosomal RNA", at positions 59 to 916 of the family's 1533-position model. The record is from RNAcentral.